Molecule: ribosomal RNA, 439 nt
Filed under: uncultured Clostridia bacterium
Lineage: Bacteria; Bacillati; Bacillota; Clostridia
Description: bacterial SSU rRNA
Rfam family: Bacterial small subunit ribosomal RNA
Source: RNAcentral
AGAGUUUGAUCAUGGCUCAGGAUGAACGCUGGCGGCGUGCCUAACACAUGCAAGUCGAACGGUAAUAUAAGGGCUUGCUCUUAUAUUAUAGUGGCGGACGGGUGAGUAACACGUGGAUAAUCUGCCUUAUACAGGGGAAUAACACUCAGAAAUGAGUGCUAAAACCCCAUAAGCUCACAGGAUGGCAUCACUCAGUGAGAAAAUAUUUAUAGGUAUAAGAGGAGUCCGCGUCUGAUUAGCUAGUUGGUAAGGUAAAAGCUUACCAAGGCGACGAUCAGUAGCCGGCCUGAGAGGGCGAACGGCCACAUUGGGACUGAGACACGGNCCAAACUCCUACGGGAGGCAGCAGUGGGGAAUAUUGCGCAAUGGGGGAAACCCUGACGCAGCAACGCCGCGUGAAGGAAGAAGGUCUUCGGAUUGUAAACUUCUAUCGACAGGG